CCCUUAGAUGUCCUGGGCCGCACGCGCGUUACACUGAUGCAUUCAACGAGCUUAUAACCUUGGCCGAGAGGCCUGGGCAAUCUUGUUAACGUGCAUCGUGAUAGGGAUAGAUUAUUGAAAUUAUUAAUCUUGAACGAGGAAUUCCUAGUAAACGCAGAUCAUCAAUCUGCAUUGAUUACGUCCCUGCCCUUUGUACACACCGCCCGUCGCACCUGCCGAUUGGAUGGUCCGGUGAAGCCUCGGGAUUGUGGUUCUUGCCGCUUUAUUGUGGCGUGACCGCGAGAACUUGUCUAAACCUUAUCAUCUAGAGGAAGGUGAAGUCGUAACA
RNAcentral lists this ribosomal RNA (328 nucleotides) under uncultured eukaryote. RNAcentral describes it as "partial 18S ribosomal RNA". It matches the Rfam family "Eukaryotic small subunit ribosomal RNA", at positions 1470 to 1796 of the family's 1831-position model. The record is from RNAcentral.